CUUGUGCAAAGAGGAUGUAGAAGUAGUGAGAUACCACCUCAUCCGAAAUUCGACUUGAGCAAGGUGAGGGAAUGGUUAACUCUUCCAAUACUUAUCCCCAACUCUCGAGCCCGAAGUGACUUGAUGACUUUGGAUGAAAAGAGUAGUCAAUUGGUGAAGCCAUUCUUAAAUCUUCGAGAGUUUUGAAAGUGAGAUUCCGCUCGUGGCUCCAUAUUUGAUGCCAUAUCCUAGAGAUUGUGUGGAAAGUUUUGAAUUUGGGAUUAUUAUGGUGCUUCAAGUGAGACAUCAUACUUAUGAGGUGCAAGAAUCGAGGUAGCACGCCAAAAUAAUUUGAAAUAAUUUGAUCUGAGGAUCUCGAGGAUAGUGCCUUGGCUUAUCAUAGGUUG
Molecule: long non-coding RNA, 386 nt
Filed under: Elaeis guineensis (African oil palm)
Lineage: Eukaryota; Viridiplantae; Streptophyta; Magnoliopsida; Arecales; Arecaceae
Description: long non-coding RNA (EGUI_LNC039175)
Source: RNAcentral